UUCAACUAAUUUGUACUAUCAAAUAUUGGAAUAAUAUUUGUUUGUUUCAAUACCAAAUAAGUUAAAUAUUUUUUAUCUGCAAUGAUAGAAUUCAUUACUACAUUUUCAUAUCUUUCUCAAAGACUAUGGCCAUACGCCACAUAUCUAGCCAAUAAUCUUUUCAUGCCACAUAUCUAGCCAAUAAUCUUUUCAUACCCCAUUGAUAACAAAAGUUAUUUUUAC
RNAcentral lists this long non-coding RNA (222 nucleotides) under Gossypium barbadense (sea-island cotton). RNAcentral describes it as "long non-coding RNA (GBAR_LNC001442)". Lineage: Eukaryota; Viridiplantae; Streptophyta; Magnoliopsida; Malvales; Malvaceae. The record is from RNAcentral.